GCAUGGGAGGGCAGUCAAACAGCUAUUUGCAUAUGAUAAAUGCACCAGCGGUGACCACAUGCAGGAGGAAGCAGGACAGGAAGAGACGAUUUAAGGAGGACGUUUGCUCUUCAGAAGGAUCUCAGCAGAUUAGAUCUAAUCAAACACACAAAUGGACGGAUGUGUGUGUGUGAUGGUGCCAGCUGAAGGAUCACCCGUCCUCUCGGGUCUGGACCCUCGGCACCAGAACAGAGCUGUCUGUCACAUCCACCCGUGCAGCUCUCAGGGUGAGAAAUAUCCUCGCUGCUCUCCCACCCGGGUUGUGUGUGGUCCUUACCUCGUCAUCAUCAGCAUCGUACUGGGCGUACUGCUGCUCCAGCAGCUCUCUCUGUCUCCUCUCCUGUUCCAGGGUCUGCUGGAUGAGCGUGGCCACCUCACUCUGCUGGCCCGGAC
Molecule: long non-coding RNA, 432 nt
Organism: Acanthopagrus latus (yellowfin seabream)
Lineage: Eukaryota; Metazoa; Chordata; Actinopteri; Spariformes; Sparidae
Exons: 3
Source: RefSeq, a predicted model, not a curated record